Molecule: long non-coding RNA, 739 nt
Filed under: Homo sapiens (human)
Lineage: Eukaryota; Metazoa; Chordata; Mammalia; Primates; Hominidae
Description: HSALNT0241594
Source: RNAcentral
AAACUUUUUAUUUUUAAUGAUGAUAAAAUUUUAAGCUAAUGACAUAAUUGCUUUAUUUUUAUUUACUCAUUCAGAGUUAAACUCCCUCAAUUUCCGAACUACUCCCUUGCUGAAAGUCAGGUUCUCAGUUACUAUUACAAAAUUUAAUAAUAGAACUGUUCCAUAUGCAGAAAGGACCAAGACAAAGGAAUGGGAAGGCUAGGGAAUAACAUUAACAUCCACACACUGUAUACUGUGCUCUCUGCUUGAUGCUUUGCCCACAGUGAUAAUUUCUUCAUAUAGUGCAAUGUAGUUUGUAAGCUGGUUUUAAAUCCAUGAGAUCUCAAGUACUCUCUGCCUUAUAGGACAGAUGUAGAUACGGUUUUGGUCUUUCUGUUUUUACAGUUUUAUAAGAGUACAAGUGAUGCUGUUUUAUUUGAAGCCUGAGAGCUUCUGGUUCCAUAACCAGAAAUUGCUACCUGGCUCUUCUAAUGGAAUGGAGGGCUUUUCCAUUCUUAGACCAUCCAACUCUGAACUUGCUCCGAAUCUCAAACCUUUCUGUUCACAGAACAAACGCUCAAGGGCUUUCAAGAGUGUUUCUGUAGAUUAGGCUUAUUAGCAUCAACUUCAUGACUUCUAAAAUGUGACUGCUUUCAUGUCCAGAUAGCUUGAAUACAGGUAUCUACCAGUGAUAUGGGGUGGAGAAUUAAUAAUGCUUGGUUACAUAAAGUCAGUGUUGCUUAUUUUUCAAAACUUUUUU